This 166-nucleotide small RNA is filed under the name Chelonoidis abingdonii (Abingdon island giant tortoise). RNAcentral's name for it is "TUC338 (ENSCABG00000021339.1)". Lineage: Eukaryota; Metazoa; Chordata; Testudines; Testudinidae. The record is from RNAcentral.
UGAAAAGCAUCGGAUAUCUCUUUAGCCAAAGAACAGAGACAGCACGGGGAGCAGUAAACUAAGCUCCCCCAACUACCUGUCAACGCAUCUUGACCCUGACAUGAAGGGACUACUUCUAGCAUCAGAGGGUAGUUCAGCCACCAUGCCUAUUUAGCCCUUGGCCUCC